AAAUGCAUCGUAUAAAGUUGAAAAUAAGGUUCAACAGUUUCUACCAAAUCACCUUAAAUGAUUUGACUACGAUAUGAAUUUUUAU
RNAcentral lists this non-coding RNA (85 nucleotides) under uncultured Niameybacter sp. RNAcentral's name for it is "Purine riboswitch". It matches the Rfam family "Purine riboswitch aptamer", at positions 14 to 98 of the family's 102-position model. From Rfam's summary of the family: Riboswitches are metabolite binding domains within certain messenger RNAs that serve as precision sensors for their corresponding targets. Allosteric rearrangement of mRNA structure is mediated by ligand binding, and this results in modulation of gene expression. Lineage: Bacteria; Bacillati; Bacillota; Clostridia; Lachnospirales; Lachnospiraceae. The record is from RNAcentral.